UGGUAAAUGAGGCCCCAUUAAAUGCCACAGCUCAUGUUUACAACACACCCAACAGGAGUUUAGGGUCACUGUGACAAGGGGCACAAAACUUACGACUUCUCUUUGAGCAAAUGUCCCACACAU
Molecule: small nucleolar RNA, 123 nt
Filed under: Octodon degus (degu)
Lineage: Eukaryota; Metazoa; Chordata; Mammalia; Rodentia; Octodontidae
Description: Small nucleolar RNA SNORA11 (ENSODEG00000022154.1)
Rfam family: Small nucleolar RNA SNORA11
About the family: U107 (SNORA11) is a member of the H/ACA class of snoRNAs that guide the sites of modification of uridines to pseudouridines. This snoRNA was identified by RT-PCR from blood cells and its expression confirmed by Northern blot analysis. There is no predicted target for this guide snRNA.
Source: RNAcentral